This 183-nucleotide non-coding RNA is filed under the name Sinimarinibacterium arenosum. Its description in RNAcentral is "Sinimarinibacterium sp. CAU 1509 6S / SsrS RNA". It matches the Rfam family "6S / SsrS RNA". From Rfam's summary of the family: E. coli 6S RNA was the first non coding RNA to be sequenced, but its function was unknown until recently. It consists of 184 nucleotides that fold into an extended hairpin structure with a large single-stranded internal bulge. Lineage: Bacteria; Pseudomonadati; Pseudomonadota; Gammaproteobacteria; Nevskiales; Nevskiaceae. The record is from Rfam by way of RNAcentral.
UGUCUCCUGCGGUGUUCGAUGUUUGGUCUGGAACCCCUUGAGCCUAAUUUGUACCCCCGGGAGCCCUAACCGUGCCGGGCGUGCAGGCCCACCUCGUAGUGGGAAGCCCGAUGGCAUGGCGCAGCACCCACUUGAGACCCUGUCUCAAGGUCGAUGACCGAUGACGGCACUGGCGGGAGACAC